Molecule: small nucleolar RNA, 52 nt
Filed under: Pyrobaculum calidifontis JCM 11548
Lineage: Archaea; Thermoproteati; Thermoproteota; Thermoprotei; Thermoproteales; Thermoproteaceae
Description: PCAsR17
Source: RNAcentral
GUGAUGAGGGGUAUCAAAUCAGUUGAGGUGUGAAGACCUCGCGACGGACUGA